Molecule: non-coding RNA, 136 nt
Filed under: Amborella trichopoda
Lineage: Eukaryota; Viridiplantae; Streptophyta; Magnoliopsida; Amborellales; Amborellaceae
Source: RNAcentral
GUGUUCGUUUAAGGAGAGAUGGUUGGCAUCUCCCCUUAUAGGGACCGGAAAAGCCAGCCUUGAGGUGGAUAGCGGUUACCGAAUACUCGCGGUUAAGGCUAUCCACCUCUUUGAGGUGGAUCUAACACAAUUUUUU